GAUGAACGCUGGCGGCGUGCCUAAUACAUGCAAGUCGAGCGAACAGACGAGGAGCUUGCUCCUCUGACGCUAGCGGCGGACGGGUGAGUAACACGUGGAUAACCUACCUAUAAGACUGGGAUAACUUCGGGAAACCGGAGCUAAUACCGGAUAAUAUAUUGAACCGCAUGGUUCAAUAGUGAAAGACGGUUUUGCUGUCACUUAUAGAUGGAUCCGCGCCGCAUUAGCUAGUUGGUAAGGUAACGGCUUACCAAGGCAACGAUGCGUAGCCGACCUGAGAGGGUGAUCGGCCACACUGGAACUGAGACACGGUCCAGACUCCUACGGGAGGCAGCAGUAGGGAAUCUUCCGCAAUGGGCGAAAGCCUGACGGAGCAACGCCGCGUGAGUGAUGAAGGUCUUCGGAUCGUAAAACUCUGUUAAUAGGGAAGAACAAAUGAGUAAGUAACUAUGCACGUCUUGACGGUACCUAAUCAGAAAGCCACGGCUAACUACGUGCCAGCCGCCGCCGUAA
This 513-nucleotide ribosomal RNA is filed under the name uncultured bacterium. RNAcentral's name for it is "partial 16S ribosomal RNA". It matches the Rfam family "Bacterial small subunit ribosomal RNA", at positions 28 to 523 of the family's 1533-position model. The record is from RNAcentral.